CGAUGAGUGCUAAGUGUUGGAGGGUUUCCGCCCUUCAGUGCUGCAGCUAACGCAUUAAGCACUCCGCCUGGGGAGUACGACCGCAAGGUUGAAACUCAAAGGAAUUGACGGGGGCCCGCACAAGCGGUGGAGCAUGUGGUUUAAUUCGAAGCAACGCGAAGAACCUUACCAGGUCUUGACAUCCUUUGACCACUCUAGAGAUAGAGCUUUCCCUUCGGGGACAAAGUGACAGGUGGUGCAUGGUUGUCGUCAGCUCGUGUCGUGAGAUGUUGGGUUAAGUCCCGCAACGAGCGCAACCCUUAUUAUUAGUUGCCAGCAUUCAGUUGGGCACUCUAGUGAGACUGCCGGUGAUAAACCGGAGGAAGGUGGGGAUGACGUCAAAUCAUCAUGCCCCUUAUGACCUGGGCUACACACGUGCUACAAUGGAUGGUACAACGAGUCGCAAAACCGCGAGGUUAAGCUAAUCUCUUAAAGCCAUUCUCAGUUCGGAUUGUAGGCUGCAAUUCGCCUACAUGAAGCCGGAAUCGCUAGUAAUCGCGGAUCAGAACGCCGCGGUGAAUACGUUCCCGGGCCUUGUACACACCGCCCGUCACACCACGAGAGUUUGUAACACCCAAAGUCGG
Molecule: ribosomal RNA, 623 nt
Filed under: Desemzia incerta
Lineage: Bacteria; Bacillati; Bacillota; Bacilli; Lactobacillales; Carnobacteriaceae
Description: bacterial SSU rRNA
Rfam family: Bacterial small subunit ribosomal RNA
Source: RNAcentral